Long non-coding RNA from Cyprinus carpio carpio, 602 nucleotides. NCBI's taxonomy places the organism in Eukaryota, Metazoa, Chordata, Actinopteri, Cypriniformes, Cyprinidae. The record is from Ensembl.
AAAGGCGACGGAUGCAGGGUAUAAGUGAUUAGUAGUCGUGACAGUUUUUCUAGGGAAAUAAAACCAUCACGUCAAGGAAAUCAGUCUACAGUGCAUCCGUCUCCAGUGGUGUUUGUGUGUUUUACAGCUUUCUGUCACAGAGGAGUCAAAGUCUCUGGUCAAAGAACCUGAACUGGCUAGCUGACCUUUGCACUUCAGCCACUGUCCAGACCUGACACCCCUGCUCCACCGCAUCAAUCCAUGUUGUUUUACCACUUAUUAUCACUUAUUUAAAUAAAACUGAAUAGUAAUCCGUUUUGGUUAGGAAUCUUGAAUUUGAAUCCUCAGCUAUUGGCACAGUAUAUCCACUUGAAAGUUGUUUAGUAUCUGUCAGUUUGUCCAAAAAACUAACCCUGAGUAUGAGCAAUAAACAGCGAACAUUGCUUUAGAUUUGAGAGCAAACAAGAAGGACACAGCCCUGUCCUUCAGAAGCUGUUUCUGAUCUUACCCACCUACGCUCAGCAGCAGAGACCAAAGGCUGGCGCUUUAUAAUUAAAGUGCACAGGAUUAUCUGUGUCUGAGACCCAGAACACAUCACGGGAAUGCCCUGUCAAACAUUAAAC